GCCUCUUCCGGGACCUGCUUGGGAGUAUCUCAUGGGAUAGGUUGCUAGAAGGCAAGGGUGCUUGUGAGAGCUGGGCUACAUUUAGGCAGCACUUCUUCCAUGCUCAGGAUCGGUGCAUCCCGAGGAAUAGGAAAUCGGGGAAGGGGGGCAGGAAACCCGCAUGGAUGAGCAAGGAGCUCAUCAGUAAGAUCAAAAGGAAGAGGAUGGUCUAUGAAAUGUGGAAAAAGGGCCUGUCCUCUGGGGAGGAUUACAGAUGUGUUGUCAGGGCCUGCAGGGACGCGACAAGGAAGGCUAAAGCCCACCUAGAGAUGAGGCUUGCAAAAGAGAUAAAGGAUAAGAAGAAAGGUUUUUUCAAGUAUGUAAACAGCAAGAGGAAGACUAGGGAUAAUGUGGGUCCCUUGCUGAAUGAGGGGGAUGUCCUGGUCACGGGAGACACUGAGAAGGCAGAGAUACUGAAUGCUUUCUUUGCUUCAGUCUUUGCUUCAAGGACACUCCCCCAGGACUCCUCGCCCCUGGCAAUAGGACAAAGGGUCUGGGAAAUGGAGGGCUCCCCCCUGGUGGAUGUGGGAGUGGUUCGGGAGUGUCUGAGUGGGUUCAACACACACAAAUCCAUGGGUCCCGAUGGGAUGCAUCCGCGUGUGCUAAGGGAGCUGGCAGAUGUGAUUGCCAAACUGCUCUCUAUCAUCUUUGAAAGGUCCUGGAGAACAGGAGAGGUGCCUGAAGACUGGAGGAUAGCCAAUGUCACUCCGGUCUUCAAGAGGGGCAGGAAGGGGGAUCCGGGAAACUACAGGCCAGUCAGUCUCACCUCUGUCCCUGGAAAGGCGUUGGAGCAGCUUGUUCGGGGUGCCGUCUCCAAGCAAUUGGAAGAGAAGAAGGUUAUGAGGAGUAGUCAGCAUGGAUUCACCAAGGGGAAGUCGGGCUCAACCAAACUCGUUGCCUCCUGUGAUGGCAUCACCAGCUGGGUAGAUGGGGGGAGAGCGGUGGAUGUCAUCUUCCUUGACUUUAGCAAGGCUUUCGAUACU
RNAcentral lists this long non-coding RNA (1022 nucleotides) under Anas platyrhynchos platyrhynchos (common mallard). Its description in RNAcentral is "lncRNA (ENSAPLG00000022612.1)". Lineage: Eukaryota; Metazoa; Chordata; Aves; Anseriformes; Anatidae. The record is from RNAcentral.